CAGCCGCCGCGGGAAUACGAAGGGGGCUAGCGUUGUUCGGAAUUACUGGGCGUAAAGCGCACGUAGGCGGACAUUUAAGUCAGGGGUGAAAUCCCGGGGCUCAACCCCGGAACUGCCUUUGAUACUGGGUGUCUAGAGUAUGGAAGAGGUGAGUGGAAUUCCGAGUGUAGAGGUGAAAUUCGUAGAUAUUCGGAGGAACACCAGUGGCGAAGGCGGCUCACUGGUCCAUUACUGACGCUGAGGUGCGAAAGCGUGGGGAGCAAACAGGAUUAGAUACCCGCGUAGUCCCUGUCCUCUUAUU
RNAcentral lists this ribosomal RNA (301 nucleotides) under uncultured bacterium. RNAcentral describes it as "partial 16S ribosomal RNA". It matches the Rfam family "Bacterial small subunit ribosomal RNA", at positions 509 to 809 of the family's 1533-position model. The record is from RNAcentral.